This 162-nucleotide ribosomal RNA is filed under the name uncultured bacterium. RNAcentral describes it as "partial 16S ribosomal RNA". It matches the Rfam family "Bacterial small subunit ribosomal RNA", at positions 393 to 539 of the family's 1533-position model. The record is from RNAcentral.
AACGCCGCGUGAGUGAAGAAGGUCUUCGGAUUGUAAAGCUCUGUCCUUAGGGAAGAACCGUGGGUAUAGUUAAUGAUACCCACCUGACGGUACCUUUGGAGGAAGCACUGGCUAACUACGUGCCAGCCACUGCGGUGACUGAGCGGGCUGGCAAGGCGCAUA